AGAGUUUGAUCCUGGCUCAGGAUUAACGCUAGCGGCAGGCCUAAUACAUGCAAGUCGAACGGUAACAGGUGUAGCAAUACAUGCUGACGAGUGGCGCACGGGUGCGUAACACGUAUGCAACCUACCUAUAACUGGGGAAUAGCCUUCCGAAAGGAAGAUUAACACCGCAUAACAUCAUUCUACGGCAUCGCAGAAUGAUCAAACCUCCGGGGGUUAUAGAUGGGCAUGCGUAACAUUAGCUAGUUGGUGAGGUAACGGCUCACCAAGGCUACGAUGUUUAGGGGGUCUGAGAGGAUGAUCCCCCACACUGGUACUGAGACACGGACCAGACUCCUACGGGAGGCAGCAGUAAGGAAUAUUGGACAAUGGGGGCAACCCUGAUCCAGCCAUGCCGCGUGAAGGAUGACGGCCCUCUGGGUUGUAAACUUCUUUUAUACGGGAAUAAACCCCUCUACGUGUAGAGGGUUGAAUGUACCGUAAGAAUAAGGAUCGGCUAACUUCGUGCCAGCAGCCGCGGNUAAUACGAAGGAUCCAAGCGUUAUCCGGAUUUAUUGGGUUUAAAGGGUGCGUAGGCGGGCUAUUAAGUCAGUGGUGAAAUCCCCAAGCUUAACUUGGGAAUUGCCAUUGAUACUGAUGGUCUUGAGUACACUUGAGGUGGGCGGAAUGUGUCAUGUAGCGGUGAAAUGCUUAGAUAUGACACAGAACACCGAUUGCG
This 715-nucleotide ribosomal RNA is filed under the name uncultured bacterium. Its description in RNAcentral is "bacterial SSU rRNA". It matches the Rfam family "Bacterial small subunit ribosomal RNA", at positions 8 to 717 of the family's 1533-position model. The record is from RNAcentral.